AAAAUUUUAAUGUAAAAUGGCUAAUUGUUUUCCCGUUUGCCUGGGCCUGUGAGGGGUGUGUCCCUGUGGGUCCAAUGAUUGGUCAGUGAAGUAAGCUGGUACUCACGGCCUCCGUCCAAUCCCCGAUUUACCCAGGGUCCCCUAGGUCCCGGUUUAGGUUUGAAUCACAGAAGUUUUAUUCAUUCGAGAUACUUUGGCUUGCGUGUCAACUUUUUUUUCCUUAGAGGAUAGGCUUCAGGUUUGCAGAAACAUGAGAGAUGCAAUUUUAGCAUUGCAUCAUUAACCAAGUUAUCAGCCUCCCGCAGUUUUUUCGGGCUUGGUGGCCGGAGGCUUGGCGGCCCCUCAAACUGCUUGUAUUUGUGUUUAAUAUGUUUGCUUAUUAACAUGCUUAUUCAUAAGUAUUAUUAAUUUGCUUAAUUUGAGCUUUGUUUGAUUUGAGCUAUGUUUAAUUUGAGCUAUGUUUAAUUUGAGCUAUGUUUAAUUUGAGUUUUGUUUAAUUGAGCUUUGUUUAAAUUGAUCUUCAUUUAUUUGAGUUUGAUCAUGUAGAUGCUUAAAGCUGUGUGUUCGAUAACAAGCUUGCAUGUAGUGCUAGAGGUGUAUUUCCUUUUGGGGUUGCCUUGCUUAUGCCAUUUGCAUACCAGAGACAUUUAAGUAAAGUGGAGCAUGGCACCCUAACUGGCUGACGCCUUCUAAUGUGUUAUACAAUAAAUUGUUACGGGCAUACAGUUGUUAUGUUGUAAAUAUCGUUGACCAGGCAGGGGAGAGAAUUGUAAAAUUUUAA
This is a long non-coding RNA of Pecten maximus, 781 nucleotides long. RefSeq lists it as uncharacterized. The transcript is spliced from 2 exons. NCBI's taxonomy places the organism in Eukaryota, Metazoa, Mollusca, Bivalvia, Pectinida, Pectinidae. The record is from RefSeq and is a predicted model, not a curated record.